Long non-coding RNA from Triticum aestivum (bread wheat), 3592 nucleotides. RefSeq lists it as uncharacterized. NCBI's taxonomy places the organism in Eukaryota, Viridiplantae, Streptophyta, Magnoliopsida, Poales, Poaceae. The record is from RefSeq and is a predicted model, not a curated record. The transcript is spliced from 7 exons.
GAUCCUGUGAAGCAUGAGCUCACCAAGCAUAUUGGUGUUGAUGCUUUUUAUGUGCGCGCUGCUGUGCAGGAUCAGGUUAUUGCUCUUCAGUAUGUGCCUUCCGAGUUACAGUUGGCGGAUUUCCUGACGAAGGCCCAGACUAAAGCGCAACAUGGCUUUUAUCUCUCCAAACUCAGUGUUGUUCCUCCACCAUGAGUUUGAGGGGGGGUGUUAGAGUUAUAAUAUAGGUCAUGUACCCCUUUAUAUUUACCCCGUUGUAUAAGGGGUUUCCUGCAUAUGUUCCACACCUGUACAUGUAUAUAUAUCGGCCUAUGGCCUCAUGGGAAUACAAGUUGCUUAUUCCUAACAUUGACAUUUAUUCAGAGCACAUACAAGUAGUAUUUCUACCGCUUAGGAAUUUUGUGGAAUUAGUUUUAGUAUUUAUUGAAGAGCAACUUAGUGAAGGAUUAUAGGAUGUUAAAAUUUCACCUAACGAAAAAAAUAUAAGUGUCAGACUGACAAGAUGAUAAGGCAACAUAAAUUUUAGUGUGAUUUAUUGGAAGAACUUUGACCGGUUGGAUGAUUCAAUUUGGUUAGUUGGUUAUGCAGUUUAUAAGUCACCCAUGGGUGUGUUUGUUGCAAAACUUGCACAAUCAUUCUAUGGCGCCAACCACCAAUACCAUGCUCCUCCAGAGUUAAGCCCACUUCGUGAUGCAUAAUUAUUAUUUUUGAUGUUGCUGAUACCCUUUCCCGUGGACACCUCUGCCAGAUCCGUUGCUGCUACAGAACCCAACUCCUGAGCACGUCGGAGUUGAGCGAGAAGACGGGAGGAGGUGUCGAGGAGGAAGAGGCCCCUCUUCCUUUUUGGUCCACGCCGCUACGGAAGUGAUAUUAGGGUAUUGCACUGAGCUGGAAGAGGAUGCUGGCCAGCGCCCCACCUCUCUUUCGACAUAAUAAACUGAUGUAAAAACUUACCUUGGGAACAUUCAUAAAUAUGACCAUUCAAAUUCCUCAGAGCGACUUUGUUCUAACCAUACAUAGCAGAACUUAGUUGCCUUUCCAGACUUCUGCAGAAAUUUAAGUGCAAUGUAUCAUCAAGGAUCAUUGAAUCCAGUUGUUUGAUUUCUUUUGUAUAACAAGAGCUUGAGUUGUCGCCCUAUCUGUGGCGGUAUCAUGGUUUGCUUGACUCAAUUUUGACAAGCAGUUCAAAAUUAAGUAUGGUCGCUUGAAGCAUUCUUUGUGAUACGAGCUGCAAUCGAGUUUCACGUUUUGUUCUACUCAACUCGGCCUUUUCCAGAUAUCUUAGCUUUGGCUUUAUGUGGGCACACUACUGUUACUCUUUUUAUAUGGCAAUACUAAGGAGAUUGAAGUAUUCGUAACACAUGUGUUUUCUGUCGUGCAGUGAACUUGUUAUACUCUUUCUGGUUCAAUGGAACUUACUUACGCACAUUAGGGCUUUUACUUUAGCUGGUGAGUGUUUGUGAGCGAGAUGACUGUCGCUUCCGCAUGGAUCCACCUCCUAGCCGUUGACCACUUCAUUGGAAGGCACGUGUAACCUUGAUGGGCAAAUAUGGUGAAGACUUGAAGUUGAUAUACUAAUGUGAUAUAUGAAGCUAUAUUCAAGGGCGUCACACAGGUUUGGAAUCUUCAUUCACAUCUGCACCUCACUUGUUACCUGUGUUCUUGCUUCAGUCAUUUUUUUGUAAUCAUAUUCCUAUAUACUGGGCAUCAUUCUGUAUUGCCAGUGCUUUCUAUUAAUCACCAUUUUAAGAAUCAUUGCUUGAUAUACUGGUCUUUUAUAUGUACCAUCUUAUUUAUCAUCUGAAUUACCUUUUGUCUGAUGUAGCACUACAAUUGGUUUACUGUACAUUGAUUUAUAUCUGAAAACUUUAAUUAUGCUUUGUUUUAUAUUUCCAGUUCUUUCAAUCAAUCACCUUUGUAAGACCCACUGCUUGACCCAUUUGAUACUGAGAUCUCAGAGCAUAUUUUACAUUUCUUUUUUCUCAUGUACUCUCUCCGUCCCAAAAUAAGUGACUUACUGUACAUUGCUAUAUAUCUGAAUUUUCUUCAUUGUGUUUAAAUAUGGAAAGUACCUUCUUUAACUAAGCGAACAACCUUUUGUCGAUUGCCGCGCUCAUAAUUUUUUUGCAAUAGUUUGGUUUUAUUACUGUUGGUGGCAGGUACGACAAACUUGUCGGCAUGUUCAGUAACAAGCAAGUCCCCACUGUUGGCGUUGAUCUUGGAAUAGAAAGAGUUUUCGCAAUCAUUGAGCAACAUGAGAAAGAAAAUAACCAGGUUAUCCGGGCUAGCGUGACAGAGGUUUUGGUGUCGAUUCUAGGGAAGGACCUUAUAUUGGCCGCCGAGCUUGCGAAUGAGUUAUGGAGUGCUGGGAUAAAGGCAGAGUUCAAGCUCACCACCAGGGAGCUGGACCACAUAAAGUAUGUGACUCAGACAGGCAUUCCGUGGAUGGUGCUGGUCGGUCAAGGCGAACUUGAAAUGUGGCCACCUUUGUAUGGCCAAUGGCUUUGUAGGCUUUCAGUAUUUGGCGUCUGUCGCCGGGUUUGUUCCGCCUCAACCAGGAUCUUCUCGGCACUGCUCUGAUGUUGUGAAAACUCACGCACGCCGACAGCCGCCUCCAUGCUCCAGCUGCCGCAGCCUGCAGUUCAAGAAGUUAGCUCAGGCUUAUGAGGUUAUGAAUGAUCCUGAGAAGCUGGGAGGUCGAGGACUGCAUGAUCUAUUGGACAUCUUCCGGUCAUUCUGUGUAUAAGAUAGCUAUAUAAUAGUUCUAUUCCAUGACUAUGGUCAUUCUGUGUAGAUUUUGUCAUAUUGGAAUUAAAAAAUGAACAAAAACAAUUUUUUUAGGAUUGAGGGUUGAUUCUCUGAGAUUUCACAUGGAUAAUUGGAUUUUGGGUACAUAUAUACUUUCAGCGAUGCCAUGAUUUUGGUUAACUCCAGGUUAUAAUUUCAAUGAUGCUUUAUGAGGAUCUUAAGAUUUGUCCGUGGUGGCUUUUUCUUACCGGUAAUGCUCUUUUAUUUAUGUUCCAGACUAUGGUUUUCUUAUCAAGAUCAAGGGUAUUGAAAAGAAAAUUCUUAGGUGGAUUUGUACACUGUGUGUACAUAGGGUAGUACUUUUGAUAUUUAUGGACUACCUUGAUCCUGUCUUGAAUGGUCUAUAUGGGAUUGCCCCCCUAUCUGCAGGUGAAUUCGGCAUUUUACAAACUUGACUUGUGUGCUUCCAUAAUCGAUAUUCCUGAUUGAUUGCGUGAAGAAACUGAUUCAUGUGUUGAAUGGACCUCAGAGAAUUAUGGAUAUGGGUGACUACUUGACUCUUGCCUUGGUUUGCGUUAAGUGUGUCGUACUGUCCUUUGAAUUUGCAAAUUCCGAGACACUCAGCCAUUACAUGCAUUGUCCUAGCAGGAACAUGACUUGGGACAGGUCACGCGCGGCAAGUUGCCCUUCCUAUGUCAUGAAUCUUAAUGCUUUGUACUGAAUUGUAUGCAAACCAGUUAUUUGCCUGGCUUGUGUUAUAUCGUAAAUCUUGAUGUCUUAUACUAAAUCUACUGGACCACUCCUGAAUACUAAUAUAGAUAUUAUGCUUCAUAUUAAAUAUUGA